This 760-nucleotide ribosomal RNA is filed under the name uncultured bacterium. Its description in RNAcentral is "bacterial SSU rRNA". It matches the Rfam family "Bacterial small subunit ribosomal RNA", at positions 8 to 796 of the family's 1533-position model. The record is from RNAcentral.
AGAGUUUGAUCAUGGCUCAGGACGAACGCUGGCGGCGUGCUUAACACAUGCAAGUCGAGCGAACCUUCGGGUUAGCGGCGAACGGGUGAGUAACACGUGGGCAACCUGCCCCGAGCUCUGGGAUAACCCCGGGAAACCGGGGCUAAUACCGGAUAUGACAUCGACAGACAUCUGUCGUUGUGGAAAGUUUUUCGGCUCGGGAUGGGCCCGCGGCCUAUCAGCUUGUUGGUGGGGUAACGGCCUACCAAGGCGACGACGGGUAGCCGGCCUGAGAGGGCGACCGGCCACACUGGGACUGAGACACGGCCCAGACUCCUACGGGAGGCAGCAGUGGGGAAUAUUGCGCAAUGGGCGAAAGCCUGACGCAGCGACGCCGCGUGAGGGAUGAAGGCCUUCGGGUUGUAAACCUCUUUCAGCAGGGACGAAGCGAAAGUGACGGUACCUGCAGAAGAAGCACCGGCCAACUACGUGCCAGCAGCCGCGGUAAUACGUAGGGUGCAAGCGUUGUCCGGAAUUAUUGGGCGUAAAGAGCUCGUAGGCGGUCCGUCACGUCGGCUGUGAAAACUCGGGGCUCAACCCCGAGCCUGCAGUCGAUACGGGCAGACUAGAGUCCGGCAGGGGAGACUGGAAUUCCUGGUGUAGCGGUGAAAUGCGCAGAUAUCAGGAGGAACACCGGUGGCGAAGGCGGGUCUCUGGGCCGGAACUGACGCUGAGGAGCGAAAGCGUGGGGAGCGAACAGGAUUAGAUACCCUAGUAGUCC